Molecule: ribosomal RNA, 468 nt
Filed under: uncultured bacterium
Lineage: Bacteria
Description: partial 16S ribosomal RNA
Rfam family: Bacterial small subunit ribosomal RNA
Source: RNAcentral
GACGAACGCUGGCGGCGUGCUUAACACAUGCAAGUCGAACGGAAAGGCCCUGCUUGUGGGGGGGGCUCGAGUGGCGAACGGGUGAGUAACACGUGAGUAACCUGCCCUUGACUUUGGUAUAACUUCAGGAAACUGGGGCUAAUACCGGAUAGGAGCUCCUGCCGCAUGGUGGGGGUGGGAAGGUUUUGGCGGUUGGGGAUGGACUCGCGGCUUAUCAGCUUGUUGGUGGGGUAGUGGCUUACCAUGGCGUUGACGGGUAGCCGGCCUGAGAGGGUGACCGGCCACACUGGGACUGAGAUACGGCCCAGACUCCUACGGGAGGCAGCAGUGGGGAAUAUUGCACAAUGGGCGGAAGCCUGAUGCAGCAACGCCGCGUGAGGGAUGACGGCCUUCGGGUUGUAAACCGCUUUUAGUAGGGAAGAAGCGAGAGUGACGGUACCUGCAGAAAAAGCACCGGCUAACUACGUG